CAGCCGCCGCGGUAAUACGUAGGUCCCGAGCGUUGUCCGGAUUUAUUGGGCGUAAAGGGAGCGCAGGCGGUUUAGUAAGUCUGAAGUUAAAGGCAUUGGCUCAACCAAUGUAUGCUUUGGAAACUGUUAGACUUGAGUGCAGAAGGGGAGAGUGGAAUUCCAUGUGUAGCGGUGAAAUGCGUAGAUAUAUGGAGGAACACCGGUGGCGAAAGCGGCUCUCUGGUCUGUCACUGACGCUGAGGCUCGAAAGCGUGGGUAGCGAACAGGAUUAGAUACCCCAGUAGUCCCUGUCUCUUAUACA
RNAcentral lists this ribosomal RNA (301 nucleotides) under uncultured bacterium. RNAcentral describes it as "partial 16S ribosomal RNA". It matches the Rfam family "Bacterial small subunit ribosomal RNA", at positions 509 to 808 of the family's 1533-position model. The record is from RNAcentral.